Molecule: ribosomal RNA, 479 nt
Filed under: uncultured bacterium
Lineage: Bacteria
Description: partial 16S ribosomal RNA
Rfam family: Bacterial small subunit ribosomal RNA
Source: RNAcentral
GAUGAACGCUGGCGGCGUGCUUAACACAUGCAAGUCGAACGAAGCACUUUAACCUGAUUCUUCGGAUGAAGGUUUUUGUGACUGAGUGGCGGACGGGUGAGUAACGCGUGGGUAACCUGCCUCAUACAGGGGGAUAACAGUUAGAAAUGACUGCUAAUACCGCAUAAGACCACAGAGCCGCAUGGCUCGGUGGGAAAAACUCCGGUGGUAUGAGAUGGACCCGCGUCUGAUUAGGUAGUUGGUGGGGUAACGGCCUACCAAGCCAACGAUCAGUAGCCGACCUGAGAGGGUGACCGGCCACAUUGGGACUGAGACACGGCCCAAACCCCUACGGGAGGCAGCAGUGGGGAAUAUUGCACAAUGGGGGAAACCCUGAUGCAGCGACGCCGCGUGAGCGAAGAAGUAUUUCGGUAUGUAAAGCUCUAUCAGCAGGGAAGAAAAUGACGGUACCUGACUAAGAAGCACCGGCUAAAUACGUG